This 468-nucleotide ribosomal RNA is filed under the name uncultured bacterium. RNAcentral's name for it is "partial 16S ribosomal RNA". It matches the Rfam family "Bacterial small subunit ribosomal RNA", at positions 28 to 507 of the family's 1533-position model. The record is from RNAcentral.
GACGAACGCUGGCGGCGUGCUUAACACAUGCAAGUCGAACGGAAAGGCCCUGCUUUUGUGGGGUGCUCGAGUGGCGAAAGGGUGAGUAACACGUGAGUAACCUGCCCUUGACUUUGGGAUAACUUCAGUAAACUGGGGCUAAUACCGGAUAGGAGCUCCUGCUGCAUGGUGGGGGUUGGAAAGUUUCGGCGGUUGGGGAUGGACUCGCGGCUUAUCAGCUUGUUGGUGGGGUAGUGGCUUACCAAGGCUUUGACGGGUAGCCGGCCUGAGAGGGUGACCGGCCACAUUGGGACUGAGAUACGGCCCAGACUCCUACGGGAGGCAGCAGUGGGGAAUAUUGCACAAUGGGCGGAAGCCUGAUGCAGCAAAGCCGCGUGCGGGAUGACGGCCUUCGGGUUGUAAACCGCUUUCGCCUGUGACGAAGCGUGAGUGACGGUAAUGGGUAAAGAAGCACCGGCUAACUACGUG